UUGCUUCUUUUUGUGACACAGCUGGCUGCCUAGUUUUCCCAGUGUCUGAUGCUCACUCUCGGACGUAGGAGCCAGGGAGGUGACUCUGCAGGAUGCUAAAGGACCAUUUGCGUCACAACUGAUUGGAGGACUGUCCCAUAUGCACACCACUGUCACAUGGGUAGGAUCACUAGCCUCAGAAGAAUCUUCCUGAGCAUGGAAGAGGAGCCUAUACAGUUUGCCAUGGUUACUGCAAUGCUGCCGCAUUCCCAGCUGCAGAAAACAACAAGAAGAAGAAAAGCCAGGACACAGAAGCCCAGAGCUACACUGUCUCCUCCCCUCCUUGUUCUCUAUAUUUAUCAAUUACAAACUCCUAGUUUAACUACCCACAAAACUUUAGUUUUACGGACUAACACCCUUCCUCCCUUCUUUAGCGAUCCUAGCCCCUGCCACCUCCUAAGUUUGCUCACACAUCUCCUCUGAGACCUGAAGCACCUGCUCUGUCAGAUCUUACCUGGUUUUCUUGACCCUGAGAUACACUUGCCCUGUAUCCUUGCCACUGUCAGAAAGUUGCUAAAUGUAUCGGUAUUGGGUAUAUAAACUGGAAGCCUUGUGGGACUGGA
Long non-coding RNA from Mesocricetus auratus (golden hamster), 602 nucleotides. RefSeq lists it as uncharacterized. NCBI's taxonomy places the organism in Eukaryota, Metazoa, Chordata, Mammalia, Rodentia, Cricetidae. The record is from RefSeq and is a predicted model, not a curated record. The transcript has 2 exons.